Molecule: ribosomal RNA, 665 nt
Filed under: uncultured Micromonosporaceae bacterium
Lineage: Bacteria; Bacillati; Actinomycetota; Actinomycetes; Micromonosporales; Micromonosporaceae
Description: bacterial SSU rRNA
Rfam family: Bacterial small subunit ribosomal RNA
Source: RNAcentral
CUUUGGGAUAACCCUCGGAAACGGGGGCUAAUACCGGAUAUGACCUGGCUCCGCAUGGGGUUGGGUGGAAAGUUUUUCGGCCCGGGAUGGGCUCGCGGCCUAUCAGCUUGUUGGUGGGGUGAUGGCCUACCAAGGCGACGACGGGUAGCCGGCCUGAGAGGGCGACCGGCCACACUGGGACUGAGACACGGCCCAGACUCCUACGGGAGGCAGCAGUGGGGAAUAUUGCACAAUGGGCGGAAGCCGGAUGCAGCGACGCCGCGUGAGGGAUGACGGCCUUCGGGUUGUAAACCUCUUUCAGCAGGGACGAAGCGUGAGUGACGGUACCUGCAGAAGAAGCGCCGGCCAACUACGUGCCAGCAGCCGCGGUAAGACGUAGGGCGCGAGCGUUGUCCGGAUUUAUUGGGCGUAAAGAGCUCGUAGGCGGCUUGUCGCGUCGACCGUGAAAACUUGGGGCUCAACCCCAAGCCUGCGAUCGAUACGGGCAGGCUAGAGUUCGGUAGGGGAGACUGGAAUUCCUGGUGUAGCGGUGAAAUGCGCAGAUAUCAGGAGGAACACCGGUGGCGAAGGCGGGUCUCUGGGCCGAUACUGACGCUGAGGAGCGAAAGCGUGGGGAGCGAACAGGAUUAGAUACCCUGGUAGUCCACGCUGUAAACGUUGGGCGC